Non-coding RNA from Nelumbo nucifera (sacred lotus), 665 nucleotides. The record is from RefSeq and is a predicted model, not a curated record. Lineage: Eukaryota; Viridiplantae; Streptophyta; Magnoliopsida; Proteales; Nelumbonaceae.
CAUUCACGGUUGGAAAUGGUUCAUGGACAUUACAAGAAAAUAGGGCAAAGGCGGCGAUUUAGAGCCGGCGGUCUUGAAGACCCCCGCCUAUGAAAAGAAUAAGGUGGUGGUUUAAAAUAGACCGCCGCCUAGAAAACCAAAACAUUCACGCGACUAUACUAGGUGGCGGUCUUUCCGUUGUUUGUAACAUUGAACCGCUCUGAAGGAUUUUACAUUUAGGCCUCAAGUGACCUAUUUUACAUCUCGGAAGGAUUUUCCUCUUUGAAGACCUCCUCUAGCUCUCCACUUUUUCUUCCUCUCUUCAUUGCUUCUCUCUUCUUACUCCCACUCAUCUCAUCAUAGAAUCGAAGCGGAGAUCAUUUGAAUCAGCUAUGGAGGUUGAGUUCACGAAAUCUCAGAUUGUUACUGUAAUCCCAAGAACUUUUUCUAUGCAUGGCAUGCUAAAGAGAAGCAUUCGCUAGCCAACAAUAUAUUGUGAUUAGCAUUCUGCAUUCAGGUCCUCCAACACUUGUCGUACUGCACACGGACAUGGCUAUUCACACCCAUUAAGCGCCUUAACACUCGAUAUCAACACAACUUAAGAGAGUUUGAGCUUGCGUGGCUGUAUAUUCACUUCCUACAUGGAAACAUCCUCUUCUAUGAUUACAUGAAAAAUGGACAUUGUA